AAUAAGUGCAGUUUUGCACUAUUCACGUUUAACGUUUGACCGUCCGUUUUAUUUGAAAAAUUUGUGAAAAAAUUAAAAACAUUUAGUCACACAUAAAGUAUUAUUCAUGUUUUAUCAUCUAAUAGCAAUAAAAAUACUAAUCAUAAAAAUUUUUCAAAUAAGACGGACGGUCAAACGUUGAACAUGAAUAGUGCAAAACUGCACUUAUU
This 209-nucleotide microRNA precursor is filed under the name Oryza rufipogon (brownbeard rice). RNAcentral's name for it is "MIR812 microRNA precursor family". It matches the Rfam family "MIR812 microRNA precursor family". The record is from Rfam by way of RNAcentral. Lineage: Eukaryota; Viridiplantae; Streptophyta; Magnoliopsida; Poales; Poaceae.